This 267-nucleotide ribosomal RNA is filed under the name Triticum aestivum (bread wheat). RNAcentral's name for it is "partial small subunit ribosomal RNA". Lineage: Eukaryota; Viridiplantae; Streptophyta; Magnoliopsida; Poales; Poaceae. The record is from RNAcentral.
AAGAGGUUUGAUGCUUCUGAAUUCAUUGUAUUAAUUCCACUUCCUACUUGCAGUAUGCUUUUAAUGAUCCCGGCUCAUGAUUUAAUUGCCAUGUAUUUAGCUAUUGAGCUUCAAAGUUUAUGGUUUUACGUGAUCGCGACAUUAAAAAGUAAGUCUGAAUUUUCCAUGGAAGUCGGCUCAAAAUAUUUGAUCUUAGGUGCAUUUCCCUCUGGAAGGAUGUACAAUGCUUGGAGGGACAGAAGUUUUAAGAGAAAUGGUCUCUUUUGA